This 652-nucleotide ribosomal RNA is filed under the name Aphelenchoides ritzemabosi. RNAcentral describes it as "eukaryotic LSU rRNA". The stretch from base 306 to 459 matches the Rfam family "5.8S ribosomal RNA". The record is from RNAcentral. Lineage: Eukaryota; Metazoa; Nematoda; Chromadorea; Rhabditida; Aphelenchoididae.
UAGGUGAACCUGCAGAUGGAUCACUAACGACAAUGAUCAAACACUUGUGCACUACAAAGCAAGACACACUAAAAGGUGUGAGCUUUACAGUCACUAACCGCUGACAAUCACCCAAUUGUUUCAGUAUCCAACGGCUUGCUUGGGCAUCUAUGGUUGGGAGAGCAGUUGUGUUUCACGACCGUGGCCGCAGAGACCUCAACCGGCAUGGUUAUUUGUUAAUUGCGACAACAACCAAGAUUCAAUGACCCAUUGUGGCGCCCAAGAAUCAUAUUCAUUCAAAUGCUUUUAUUGACUAAAUAGCAAUUCAGCUAUAUCGGUGGAUCACUUGGCUCGUAGAUCGAUGAAGAACGCAGUGAAUUGCGUUAAGAAUCACGAAUUACAGAUAUUAUGAGUGAUAUGUUUUCGAUUGCAUAUUGCAUCGUUGGGCACUUGCUCAUCGAUAUACCCUGCUCAGGGUGUGUAUUCUCACCCGAUUGGCACAAUGCACUUGUUGGUUGUGACAAAAGCCCACAUUUAUGCUCGUGUUCAAGAGAAAGGGUUCUCGUCGAAAGUCUAUUGAGUAAUCACAGGCCGUAGAUGUUAACACACUGAACAUCUAAGCACUCGGUUUAAUCCACCUGAGUCGGAUAUGACUACCCGCUGAACUUNAGCA